RNAcentral lists this ribosomal RNA (440 nucleotides) under uncultured bacterium. Its description in RNAcentral is "partial 16S ribosomal RNA". It matches the Rfam family "Bacterial small subunit ribosomal RNA", at positions 338 to 795 of the family's 1533-position model. The record is from RNAcentral.
CCUACGGGUGGCAGCAGUGGGGAAUAUUGGACAAUGGGGGGAACCCUGAUCCAGCGACGCCGCGUGAGUGAAGAAGGAUUUCGGAAUGUAAAGCUCUAUCAGCAGGGAAGAAAAUGACGGUACCUGACUAAGAAGCCCCGGCUAACUACGUGCCAGCAGCCGCGGUAAAACGGAGGGGGCAAGCGUUAUCCGGAUUUACUGGGUGUAAAGGGAGCGUAGACGGUGAAGCAAGUCUGAUGUGAAAGGUCGGGGCCCAACCCCGGGACUGCAUUUGAAACUGUUGAACUGGAGUACAGGUGAGGUAAGCGGAUUUCCUGGUGUAGCGGUGAAAUGCGUAGAUAUUAGGAGGACCACCAGUGGCGAAGGCGGCUUACUGGACUGUAACUGACGUUGAUGCUCGAAAGCGUGGGUAGCAAACAGGAUUAGAUACCCUAGUAGUC